CGUGACCCCAAGUUAGGUGGGGUUAGUCGCUGAGUUUAA
Molecule: ribosomal RNA, 39 nt
Filed under: Polylepis rugulosa
Lineage: Eukaryota; Viridiplantae; Streptophyta; Magnoliopsida; Rosales; Rosaceae
Description: partial 26S ribosomal RNA
Source: RNAcentral